This 75-nucleotide transfer RNA is filed under the name Candidatus Woesebacteria bacterium. Its description in RNAcentral is "tRNA-Pro". It matches the Rfam family "tRNA". From Rfam's summary of the family: Transfer RNA (tRNA) molecules are approximately 80 nucleotides in length. Lineage: Bacteria; Candidatus Woeseibacteriota. The record is from RNAcentral.
CGGAGUGUAGGUCAUCGGUAGACCGCCGCGUUCGGGUCGCGGAAGCAGACGGUUCAAUUCCGUCCACUCCGACCA